AUGUUGUAUGAGAGAAGGUUAGCACUCCCCUUGACAAGGAUAGAAGAGGCUGUCAGUCCCGACAACACACAUACAGUUAAGACAUUGCCAUGUUCAUGGCAUCUAACCAACAUUUUGC
Molecule: small nuclear RNA, 118 nt
Organism: Vulpes vulpes (red fox)
Lineage: Eukaryota; Metazoa; Chordata; Mammalia; Carnivora; Canidae
Source: Ensembl